GGCUGGUUCUCCUCCUCCCACAUGCGUCUUUCCUGCUUGUUGACUUGCAUUGGACUGAUUUAGAACCAUGUUUGAUGCAUCUAGACUGGCAAGCCCAAGACGGAAGAAUCUGUGGAGAUGAGACUGUGAUGUGACUUCCGAAGAUAAGGAAGAGAUGGCUUGAAAGUAUGGCAUCACUUUGGUAUUUAGUGCAGUGAUGGGAUUGUCAUCACACUCAAUGUUUUGUAGCUGUUCCUGGUGCCUAGGGGAUAUUUAGCGAAGGCAAGGGAAAGGGAAGAUUUCAAGCAACAGACGGAUGGGAAGCCUUGAAAAUUUCGCCAAACCCGCCAGGUCAGAGUGGGGCAGCACAGUCCCUCGCAUUCCUGUUUCUCGUGUUUCUUUGGUUAAAGCUUGGAAGCCGUUUGCAAUGGAAAGAGGCUGAGAUUUUAGAGGAAGGGGUUCAAACUCUUGCUCCUCCAUUCAAGACUUUUGUUGAGGAGCCGGCCUGGUGGCGCAGCGGUUAAGUUCGCACGUUCUGCUUCUCAGCGGCCCGGGGUUGGCCGGUUCGGAUCCUGGGUGUGGACAUGGCACCGCUUGGCACACCAUGCUGUGCCUUCAAGUCCUCAUCUGUAAAAGGAAAAAGAACAGGAGAACUCCUGGAAGGUCCAUACCAGACGCUGCAGACACUUGCUCAGUUGCCUGCGGAUGGAUUUGCUCUGGCUGCGGGCUCAUCUGGUGUAUCCCCUUUGGAUGGCAGAGUAAGAGUGAGAAAGCGGAAACCUGUAGGAUCCUGAGGCCUUGACUUGCAAUUGACACUUCCACUCUAUUUUAUUGGC
This 815-nucleotide long non-coding RNA is filed under the name Equus caballus (horse). Its description in RNAcentral is "lncRNA (ENSECAG00000049123.1)". The record is from RNAcentral. Lineage: Eukaryota; Metazoa; Chordata; Mammalia; Perissodactyla; Equidae.